This 256-nucleotide ribosomal RNA is filed under the name uncultured bacterium. RNAcentral describes it as "partial 16S ribosomal RNA". It matches the Rfam family "Bacterial small subunit ribosomal RNA", at positions 524 to 776 of the family's 1533-position model. The record is from RNAcentral.
UACGUAGGGUCCGAGCGUUGUCCGGAAUUACUGGGCGUAAAGAGCUCGUAGGUGGUUUGUCGCGUUGUUCGUGAAAACUCACAACUCAAUUGUGGGCGUGCGGGCGAUACGGGCAGACUGGAGUACUGCAGGGGAGACUGGAAUUCCUGGUGUAGCGGUGGAAUGCGCAGAUAUCAGGAGGAACACCGGUGGCGAAGGCGGGGUCUCUGGGCAGUAACUGACGCUGAGGAGCGAAAAGCGUGGGGGAGCGAACAGG